RNAcentral lists this ribosomal RNA (492 nucleotides) under uncultured bacterium. Its description in RNAcentral is "partial 16S ribosomal RNA". It matches the Rfam family "Bacterial small subunit ribosomal RNA", at positions 29 to 507 of the family's 1533-position model. The record is from RNAcentral.
AGUGAACGCUGGCGGUAGGCCUAACACAUGCCAGUCGAACGGCAGCACAGUAAGAGCUUGCUCUUACGGGUGGCGAGUGGCGGACGGGUGAGGAAUACAUCGGAAUCUGCUUUUUCGUGGGGGAUAACGUAGGGAAACUUACGCUAAUACCGCAUACGACCUACGGGUGAAAGCAGGGGAUCUUCGGACCUUGCGCGAUUGAAUGAGCCGAUGUCGGAUUAGCUAGUUGGCGGGGUAAAGGCCCACCAAGGCGACGAUCCGUAGCUGGUCUGAGAGGAUGAUCAGCCACACUGGAACUGAGACACGGUCCAGACUCCUACGGGAGGCAGCAGUGGGGAAUAUUGGACAAUGGGCGCAAGCCUGAUCCAGCCAUACCGCGUGGGUGAAGAAGGCCUUCGGGUUGUAAAGCCCUUUUGUUGGGAAAGAAAAGCAGCAGGUUAAUACCCCGCUGUUCUGACGGUACCCAAAGAAUAAGCACCGGCUAACUUCGUG